GCUAGAAUGGUGAAAUUGACAGAUACUCAGGACUUAAAAUUCUGUGGAUAGUAAUAUCCAUGUGGGUUUGAAUCCCACUUCUAGUA
Molecule: transfer RNA, 86 nt
Filed under: Caudoviricetes sp.
Lineage: Duplodnaviria; Heunggongvirae; Uroviricota; Caudoviricetes
Description: tRNA-Leu
Rfam family: tRNA
About the family: Transfer RNA (tRNA) molecules are approximately 80 nucleotides in length.
Source: RNAcentral